GUAAGUUGACUGAUGUUAUUUAUCCAACCCUUAUGUUACCAGGUAAGUUGACUGAUGUUAUUUAUCCAACCCUUAUGUUACCAGGUAAGUUGACUGAUGUUAUUUAUCCAACCCUUAUGUUACCAGGUAAGUUGACUGAUGUUAUUUAUCCAACCCUUAUGUUACCAGGUAAGUUGACUGAUGUUAUUUAUCUAACCCUUAUGUUACCAGGUAAGUUGACUGAUGUUAUUUAUCCAACCCUUAUGUUACCAGGUAAGUUGACUGAUGUUAUUUAUCCAACCCUUAUGUUACCAGGUAAGUUGACUGAUGUUAUUUAUCUAACCCUUAUGUUACCAGGUAAGUUGGCUGAUGUUAUUUAUCCAACCCUUAUGUUACCAGGUAAGUUGACUGAUGUUAUUUAUCCAACCCUUAUGUUACCAGGUAAGUUGACUGAUGUUAUUUAUCUAACCCUUAUGUUACCAGGUAAGUUGACUGAUGUUAUUUAUCCAACCCUUAUGUUACCAGGUAAGUUGACUGAUGUUAUUUAUCCAACCCUUAUGUUACCAGGUAAGUUGACUGAUGUUAUUUAUCCAACCCUUAUGUUACCAGGUAAGUUGACUGAUGUUAUUUAUCCAACCCUUAUGUUACCAGGUAAGUUGACUGAUGUUAUUUAUCUAACCCUUAUGUUACCAGGUAAGUUGACUGAGAUCAUAUUGUAAUUUGGGCCUACAACAACAACCAGGAAAGAGGAGAGUGGUUGAAAAGACUGAUGUGACUUUUGUACUCUCAGUUCCAUUCAAUGAGCUUUACUGGCAUGGUAAGUCAAUGAGAUGUAUUGUAAAAGAGAACUGUUGUUUCUUUUGAUGAGGCUUAAUCCCUCUCCUCUCCUCCCUUCUUUUUCCCUUCUUCUCUAUCCUCUCUCUCUCUCUCGUUCCACUGUCAAGGGCUGUCUGUCUCCCUCUAAGGCUUUUCCUCCCUCUCUCGUUCUAGUACUGAGGGAUUUGUCAGGAUGGUGAGAGCAUGACGUCAGCCCCUCCACUCCAACGCCAGCCCUGCCAUGCUGGUGCCACUCUCUGAGGAUGAUGUGACUUGUCACAGGUC
Molecule: long non-coding RNA, 1080 nt
Filed under: Salmo salar (Atlantic salmon)
Lineage: Eukaryota; Metazoa; Chordata; Actinopteri; Salmoniformes; Salmonidae
Description: lncRNA (ENSSSAG00000083907.1)
Source: RNAcentral